UGCGUAGGCGGAAUAUUAAGUCAGUGGUGAAAUCCUGCAGCUUAACUGUAGAACUGCCAUUGAUACUGGUAAUCUUGAAUUUAGUUGAGGUGGGCGGAAUGUGUAAUGUAGCGGUGAAAUGCUUAGAUAUUACACAGAACACCGAUUGCGAAGGCAGCUCACUAAACUAACAUUGACGCUGAGGCACGAAAGCGUGGGGAGCGAACAGGAUUAGAUACCCUGGUAGUC
Molecule: ribosomal RNA, 228 nt
Filed under: uncultured bacterium
Lineage: Bacteria
Description: partial 16S ribosomal RNA
Rfam family: Bacterial small subunit ribosomal RNA
Source: RNAcentral